Long non-coding RNA from Monomorium pharaonis (pharaoh ant), 1330 nucleotides. RefSeq lists it as uncharacterized. Lineage: Eukaryota; Metazoa; Arthropoda; Insecta; Hymenoptera; Formicidae. The record is from RefSeq and is a predicted model, not a curated record. The transcript is spliced from 2 exons.
CUGAAACAAAAUUUCAUUGGCUGUUCAGAAAUAUGCGUAAUAGCCAUAGAGCUUGUAUUAAUGGAGGGGCCAUUGCUAUAUGCACAGACUUCUAUAAUAUACUAGACUGCUAACCUUGAUUCCCUAGGCGUACCAGUAUAUAAUGUACAUGUUGUGCAUGACUGAAUAACCGAUCGGAAUGUGUCAUCUACUAUGUAUGUUGUACAUUGUUCGUCAAGUGGAAUGUAUAUGUACAUAUAUAUAUAUACAUAUAUGCCAAUAAAUGUCACAUAUAGUUGCUACGAGUAAUUUGUUGACAUUUUUAAAAUGUUUAUAUAUAUAUAUAUAUAUAUAUAUAUUUAAAGAAUGAUACUUAAUAAUACUAAUAAAUAUCAUUAAUAUUAGGUUAUUUUAUACAAAAAUGCUCUUAAAAUGAGGUUAUAUUAUUUGUCCUUUAGUUUUAAUACUUAAACGAAAAGAAAUGUAUACCGCUUUCUUAUAUAUAUUUGGGCAGCCUUUUAUCACAUACCUUGGUUAUUGUCAUUUUAUCUUUUUCUUUUAUAUUACAAGAGCAAAAGAAUGAUACGUUUAACGCAUAAGUACGCAUAAGCGUCCAAGGAGAACGCUCUCAUAAUCACAUAAUAUAUGUAUAUAUUGUAUCAUACAUCUCACUCACUCCUCUAGUAAUCCAUAGUCGUAGGACUAUAAAAUAUUAGCCACAUUCCAAUCGGUAAUUCAGUCUGCCGCCUAUGAGCUCCUAUUUGUACAUACUUUUCGGGUACACACUAAAUGGAGAAUAUAUAACGAGCCUAGCAGUCUAGUAUAUUAUAGAAGUCUGUGGCUAUAUGCCGGAGUCCGCGCGGGGAGAAUCGACAGAGACAUGAAUAUAUUCUCAUCACUGAUCUCAUUAAAGUGGAUAUGGCAUAGGACGAAAUAAGUGUGACCAAUUGAAGGUUGUAGUCUCUGUACACAAUAUGGCGGUGUAUACGAAUACGAACACAGUUUACUGUGACGAUGAUACGAAAUUCCACGUGUAAUUAAUUAUCUAUAGACGUAGAUGUGUAGCAGUUUUAUCCAAAAUAUUACUUUUUUAUAAUAAAAAUAGUAAAAUAGUAAAAUAGUAAGAUUCCAAAAUUAAAAAAUGUGUUUAUUGUGGAAAAGGAAGUGAAAAUAAACAACAAACGUUCAUAGCUGCAAGUAUGGAUUACUACAACACAAUUAAGGACACGAGGACAAAAUAAGCUAUAACAAUACCCUUUAAACUUAUUUAUAAGUUUAGUAGUAGUAGUAUUAUUUAUUAGUAAAAUUAUUUAACAAGAUGGUCAUAAAUAAAAAUUUACGAUUUUUAGAC